This 279-nucleotide ribosomal RNA is filed under the name uncultured bacterium. RNAcentral describes it as "partial 16S ribosomal RNA". It matches the Rfam family "Bacterial small subunit ribosomal RNA", at positions 506 to 784 of the family's 1533-position model. The record is from RNAcentral.
UGCCAGCCGCCGCGGUAAUACGGAGGGUCCGAGCGUUAUCCGGAAUUAUUGGGUUUAAAGGGUCCGUAGGCGGGCUAAUAAGUCAGGGGUGAAAGUCUGCGGCUCAACCGUAGAAAUGCCUUUGAUACCGUUAGUCUUGAGUCAUGGUGAAGUGGGCGGAAUAUGUAGUGUAGCGGUGAAAUGCAUAGAUAUUACAUAGAACACCUAUUGCGAAGGCAGCUUUCUGGACCAAUACUGACGCUGAGGUACGAAAGCGUGGGUAGCAAACAGGAUUAGAUA